UGGGGAAUAUUGCACAAUGGGCGCAAGCCUGAUGCAGCCAUGCCGCGUGUAUGAAGAAGGCCUUCGGGUUGUAAAGUACUUUCAGUCGGGAGGAAGGUGGUAAGGUUACUAACCUUAUCAAUUGACGUUACCGACAGAAGAAGCACCGGCUAACUCCGUGCCAGCAGCCGCGGUAAUACGGAGGGUGCAAGCGUUAAUCGGAAUUACUGGGCGUAAAGCGCACGCAGGCGGUUGAUUGAGUCAGAUGUGAAAUCCCCGGGCUUAACCCGGGAAUUGCAUCUGAUACUGGUCAGCUAGAGUCUUGUAGAGGGGGGUAGAAUUCCAUGUGUAGCGGUAAAAUGCGUAGAGAUGUGGAGGAAUACCGGUGGCGAAGGCGGCCCCCUGGACAAAGACUGACGCUCAGGUGCGAAAGCGUGGGGAGCAAACAGG
This 429-nucleotide ribosomal RNA is filed under the name Chloroflexota bacterium. RNAcentral describes it as "Chloroflexi bacterium partial 16S ribosomal RNA". It matches the Rfam family "Bacterial small subunit ribosomal RNA", at positions 355 to 776 of the family's 1533-position model. Lineage: Bacteria; Bacillati; Chloroflexota. The record is from RNAcentral.